Molecule: ribosomal RNA, 403 nt
Filed under: uncultured bacterium
Lineage: Bacteria
Description: partial 16S ribosomal RNA
Rfam family: Bacterial small subunit ribosomal RNA
Source: RNAcentral
GACGAACGCUGGCGGCGUGCCUAAUACAUGCAAGUCGAACGCAGUGGGGACGGGUGAGUAACACGUGGGUAACCUCCCAUCAGAGGGGAUAACACUUGGAAACAGGUGCUAAACCGAUACUGAUGGAUGGACCCGCGGUGCAUUAGCUAGUUGGUGAGGUACCGGCCCACCAAGGACACGAUGCAUAGCAGACCGGAGAGGGUGAUAGGCAACCCGGGGACGGAAACACGGCCCAGACCCCUACGGGAGGCGGCGGUAGGGAAUCUUCGGCAAGGGACGAAAGUCUAACCGAGAAACGCCGCGUGAGUGAAGAAGGUUUUCGGAUCGUAAAACUCUGUUGUUAGAGAAGCGGUAUCUAACCAGAAAGCCACGGCUAACUACGUGCCAGCCGCCGCGGUAAUAC